RNAcentral lists this ribosomal RNA (254 nucleotides) under uncultured bacterium. Its description in RNAcentral is "partial 16S ribosomal RNA". It matches the Rfam family "Bacterial small subunit ribosomal RNA", at positions 524 to 776 of the family's 1533-position model. The record is from RNAcentral.
UACGUAGGGACCAAGCGUUGUUCGGAUUUACUGGGCGUAAAGGGCGCGUAGGCGGCGUGACAAGUCACUUGUGAAAUCUCCGGGCUUAACUCGGAACGGCCAAGUGAUACUGUCGUGCUAGAGUGCAGAAGGGGCAAUCGGAAUUCUUGGUGUAGCGGUGAAAUGCGUAGAUAUCAAGAGGAACACCUGAGGUGAAGACGGGUUGCUGGGCUGACACUGACGCUGACAGCGCGAAAGCUAGGGGAGCGAACGGG